This 485-nucleotide long non-coding RNA is filed under the name Heterocephalus glaber (naked mole-rat). Its description in RNAcentral is "lncRNA (ENSHGLG00100033567.1)". The record is from RNAcentral. Lineage: Eukaryota; Metazoa; Chordata; Mammalia; Rodentia; Bathyergidae.
AAAAACUGGACACUAAGGAAGCUAAAUUCCAUUCCUCCAAAGCAUCUGGUUCCUCCUAGAAGUUUCCUGACUUCUGUGGGCAAAAUGUGAUGACAAAGGCUCACAGCUACUAAUGUGCCUAACUUGCAAGAAAGAAACUUUGAAAUGACCAGUCUACCUUUUAUUCUUUGUUUCCACUAUCUUCAACAUCUUUUGGUCUAUAAAACCAACUUUCUCUGCUCCGCUCAUUGGAACACAAUCCAUUUUAAGAAGAACAAGUAUGCAGCUGGCCAAGAGGUUUUGCAACCUGAUGGGGAGGCUGUCAAGUGUGACAAAAGAUCAUCAGCACCAAGCAUGAGUAUGUGAGAAUGACCUACCUCUCUCACUACUUGCAGCUAACUAUGGGACAGUGCAUCACCUGGCUCAGGUAAGUCACCAUCAGAAACACAGCAUAGUGAAAACAACUCACACAAGAACUAUGUUAAAUGGUAACUUUUCAUUUCCUA